RNAcentral lists this long non-coding RNA (2355 nucleotides) under Salmo salar (Atlantic salmon). RNAcentral's name for it is "lncRNA (ENSSSAG00000085167.1, ENSSSAG00000105820.1)". Lineage: Eukaryota; Metazoa; Chordata; Actinopteri; Salmoniformes; Salmonidae. The record is from RNAcentral.
CUUUAAAUCAGUUCUGUUAAACUCAUUCCUCUGAGGACCUAGUGUCUGCUGGUUUUUGUUUUUUCUUUUCAAUUAAGACUUAGACAACCAGGUGAGGAGAAUUCCUUACUAAUUACGGACCUUAAUUUGUCAAUCGAGUACAAGGCAGGAGUGAAAACCUGCAGGUACUUAGCCCUCUGUGGAAUGAAUUUGACACAUGUGCUUUGAAUACAACCAUGAGGAAAACUGUAGGAAACGUUGUGCUGAAAUUCCCACCUAAGAAACAUAUGGUUCUCGGAACGUUAUGUGCUACAUGGGUAUCCUGCAGCAUUCCCAGAACAUUGUGGGAAGGUUGUAUGAAAAAUAUCCAUAGAAAAACCACUCACCAAGCUCUAAGAAACAUGGUUCUCAGAACGUUAUACGCUAGCUGGGAAAUCAGCACACCUAGUCUUUAAGGGCCGGCUGGAGAGCUCAAAGAAAAGACGGAAGAAAAGAAAGUCUUACUACUCAAAGAUAAAGGAAAAAGAAAACCCAAAGGAAUGGAGAAGGAAACUGAAAAAAAGAGGCACCGAUUCACCCCUGGAGAUGAGGAUCUUAUUAUUUCAGGGGUACUUGGGCACUGGGAGGACCUCUUCGGUGCCCAGGCCCACAUUCGCCCCCGGGGGUCAAAGACGGCAACCUGGAACACCAUCGCGGGGACCUUGACCCCUACAUCAGCUGUGGCGAGAUGUGGUGAUGAUGUCCGGAAGAAGUACAAUCUCAUAAGGAGCCAAAUCAAGCAAAAGGUUUCUUCUAUCCGGACAUUGUCCACCCAGACUGGUGGGGGGCCCAACACCGUGCCGGCGCUGACCGACCUGGAGCAGCAACUGCUUUCCCGAAUGGCAGAGACCGAAGCUGGUGUAGGGCCUGCUGAUUUGGGAUUUGGUCUCUCUCAGGGAGAAAUCUCCAGCUCUGGUCCCCUACCAGCAGCACAGGGAACUGUGGAGUCAGCUUUACCCUCUGUCACCAUGGAGGAGCUACCCUCCACCUCGCCAUCAACACCUUGGCCAGCACCAACAGUGCCACCCCAACCCAUCACCUCCCGUCCUGCACCAUCUCACUCUGGCUCUACACCCCAACCCAUCACCUCCCGUCCUGCACCAGCUCACUCAAUCCAGGCUCAAUCAAUGAAUCAAAUUUAUUUUAUAAAGCCCUUUUUACAUCAGCAGUUGUCACAAAGUGCUUUACAAAUACCUAGCUUAAAACCCCAAAUAGCAAGCAAUGCAGAUGCACUCUCUGGCUGUAAACCCCAACCCAUCACCUCCUGUCCUGCACCAUCUCACUCCAUCCACUCUGGCUCUACACCCCAACCCAUCACCUCCUGUCCUGCACCAUCUCACUCUGGCUCUACACCCCAACCCAUCACCUCCUGUCCUGCACCAUCUCACUCCAUCCACUCUGGCUCUACACCCCAACCCAUCACCACCUGUCCUGCACCAUCUCACUCUGGCUCUACACCCCAACCCAUCACCUCCUGUCCUGCACCAUCUCACUCCAUCCACUCUGGCUCUACAUCCCAACCCAUCACGUCUGGCUGGACACCACAGGGCCCCCAAGCCAAUCUGUUCCAACAAAUCCUGGACACACAAACACAACAAAUCCAUGUUACACAGACCGCCCAACACAUCCACCAAGCUCUUUAUGAUUUAUUACAAAAAGCACAUGAAACACAGAAGGCACACCUGGAUGUGGAGAAGAACCGGCUCCAGCUGGAUAGAGAGCGCUUGAGGGUGGAGACAGAGCGCCUGCAGGUGGAGAGGGAGCGCCUUCAGCUGGAGAAGGAUCGCCUGGGGGAAGGGGAGGCCCGGGAGGUGCUUCGGCAGCUCUCUGUCUCCGGGUCAGUCGCCCUAGAACACCAGACGCCUGUGAGUUCAAGAACUGCCAGUGCCUCCCCCACCCUUCCUCUGGGAACACCAUCAGCCUCCAUGUCCAGUCCCCUCACAUUAAUAUCACCUACUGCACCACACUUUGAUUUCUUAUUUUCCCCAUUCCCAUUACCGGUAAUCACAACCCAUUCCACCCAGCCUUCACAAACUGCCCCAACCCCCCUACCUUAACCAGCCCUGCCCCAACCUCCCCUACCUUAACCAGCCCUGCCCCAACCUCCCCUACCUUAACCAGCCCUGCCCCAACCUCCCCUACCUUAACCAGCCCUGCUCCAACCACCCCUACCUUAACCGUUUCUGCCCACUCUCUCAUCCCUACAAUCUCCGGAUCUGUUAAACGGCGAGUUCAGGAGACAGUCCGGCCUUGGUCUACACCCACUGCUAAGAAUAAAAAACAUCAAUAAACAAAUAAUGUAAUAAAAUACAAGUGUUUAUCUUUUCUUACAGCCUC